GGAAUAGACGCAGGUGGAGGUGCUGAGUUUUAACCACACAUGGUUUCCACGGAGUCGUGGUGGCACAUCCCAGCCAGAACAUGCUGCAGAAGCCUCUGCUUGGCUGGUUUCCCGCCCCUGCUCGCAGAGAUCCAGCAAAGCAUGUGGAAAACAACAGCACCUGAAGAAAGCAGGAAUUAAAACUCUGACUCUGAGUUUGCUCCGGAACAUUUGCUCCUGAAUCUCUCCACCUGUAGAAAGUGCCAGAUAUCAAGAUAUUCCUAUCUGAAGAAGCUUCCUGGCUUCAAGUCUAUCUCCAUCAUUUGCUUUAAAAGAGGUGAAAUAUCUGGGAAAGAAUAGCACAAAAAAAAGGGAAAUAGCUGACCAAUAAACUACCUUGAAAGCAUCCAGCCUGGAUCUCAGCUGCAAACUUUCCCUGGGACACCGCAUACUCUUCUGACAUCUUGCAACUCUAGGAUAAAGGAAUGUUUCC
This is a long non-coding RNA of Rhea pennata, 472 nucleotides long. RefSeq lists it as uncharacterized. NCBI's taxonomy places the organism in Eukaryota, Metazoa, Chordata, Aves, Rheiformes, Rheidae. The record is from RefSeq and is a predicted model, not a curated record. The transcript has 7 exons.